Molecule: ribosomal RNA, 465 nt
Filed under: uncultured bacterium
Lineage: Bacteria
Description: partial 16S ribosomal RNA
Rfam family: Bacterial small subunit ribosomal RNA
Source: RNAcentral
CCUACGGGAGGCAGCAGUGGGGAAUAUUGCGCAAUGGGCGAAAGCCUGACGCAGCGACGCCGCGUGAGGGAUGAAGGUCUUCGGAUCGUAAACCUCUGUCAGCAGGGAAGAACGGUCACUGUGCUAAUCAGCAGUGAAUUGACGGUACCUGCAAAGGAAGCACCGGCUAACUCCGUGCCAGCCGCCGCGGUAAUCCGGAGGGUGCGAGCGUUAAUCGGAAUUACUGGGCGUAAAGCGCUCGUAGGCGGUAUGUCAAGUCAAGGGUGAAAUCCCCGCGCUCAACGUGGGAACUGCCUUUUAAACUGGCAAACUGGAGUGUGUGAGAGGAUAGUGGAAUUCCAGGUGUAGGAGUGAAAUCCGUAGAUAUCUGGAGGAACAUCAGUGGCGAAGGCGACUAUCUGGCACAUAACUGACGCUGAGGAGCGAAAGCGUGGGUAGCAAACAGGAUUAGAUACCCUAGUAGUC